Molecule: ribosomal RNA, 490 nt
Filed under: uncultured bacterium
Lineage: Bacteria
Description: partial 16S ribosomal RNA
Rfam family: Bacterial small subunit ribosomal RNA
Source: RNAcentral
GAUGAACGCUCGCUACAGGCUUAACACAUGCAAGUCGCGGGGCAGCAUGGGGGUUGCUUGCAAUCCCCGAUGGCGACCGGCGCACGGGUGAGUAACGCGUAUCCAACCUGCCCUUCACCACGGGAUAACCCGGCGAAAGUCGGACUAAUACCGUAUGUUGUCCAUUGACGGCCUCCGAUUUGGACGAAAGGCUUGGCGGUGAGGGAUGGGGAUGCGUCCGAUUAGCCAGACGGCGGGGUAACGGCCCACCGUGGCUACGAUCGGUAGGGGUUCUGAGAGGAAGGUCCCCCACACUGGAACUGAGACACGGUCCAGACUCCUACGGGAGGCAGCAGUGAGGAAUAUUGGUCAAUGGGCGUAAGCCUGAACCAGCCAAGUAGCGUGCAGGAUGACGGCCCUAUGGGUGGUAAACUGCUUUUAUGCGGGGAUAAAGUGGCACACGGGUGGGCUUUUGCAGGUACCGCAUGAAUAAGGACCGGCUAAUUCCGUG